RNAcentral lists this ribosomal RNA (482 nucleotides) under uncultured bacterium. RNAcentral's name for it is "partial 16S ribosomal RNA". It matches the Rfam family "Bacterial small subunit ribosomal RNA", at positions 28 to 523 of the family's 1533-position model. The record is from RNAcentral.
GACGAACCCUGGCGGCGUGCUUAACAAAUGCAAGUCGAACGAUGAUGCCCAGCUUGCUGGGUGGAUUAGUGGCGAACGGGUGAGUAACACGAGAGUAACCUGCCCCUGACUCUGGGAUACGCGUUGGAAACGAAGUCUAAUACUGGAUAUGACUGCCCGACGCAUGGCAUGGUGUGGAAUGCUUUUUUGGCUGGAGAUGGAUUCGUGGCCUAUCAGCUGGUUGGUGAGGUAAUGGCUCACCAAGGCGACGACGGGUAGCCGGCCUGAGAGGGUGACCGGCCACACGGGGCCUGAGACACGGCCCAGACGCCUACGGGGGGCAGCAGUGGGGAAUAUGGCACAAUGGGCGAGAGCCUGAUGAAGCAACGCCGCGUGAGGGAUGACGGCCUUCGGGUUGUAAACCUCUUUUAGUAGGGAAGAAGCGUAAGUGACGGUACCUGCAGAAAAAGCACCGGUUAACUACGUGCCAGCAGCCGCCGUAA